AAGGCUUUAGCUUAAUUAAAGUGUCUGUUUUGCAUGCAGAAGAUGUGGGUUAGUGUCCCGCAAGCCUUA
RNAcentral lists this transfer RNA (69 nucleotides) under Hypseleotris sp. HAxHB. Its description in RNAcentral is "tRNA-Ala". It matches the Rfam family "tRNA". Rfam says of the family: Transfer RNA (tRNA) molecules are approximately 80 nucleotides in length. Their secondary structure includes four short double-helical elements and three loops (D, anti-codon, and T loops). Further hydrogen bonds mediate the characteristic L-shaped molecular structure. tRNAs have two regions of fundamental functional importance: the anti-codon, which is responsible for specific mRNA codon recognition, and the 3' end, to which the tRNAs corresponding amino acid is attached (by aminoacyl-tRNA synthetases). tRNAs cope with the degeneracy of the genetic code in two manners: having more than one tRNA (with a specific anti-codon) for a particular amino acid; and 'wobble' base-pairing, i.e. permitting non-standard base-pairing at the 3rd anti-codon position. The record is from RNAcentral. RNAcentral also lists the same sequence under 1 other name. Lineage: Eukaryota; Metazoa; Chordata; Actinopteri; Gobiiformes; Eleotridae.